UUUGAGAUGAGACAACAGUGAGAGGUUUAAUUUCGAGAUGAGACAACAGUGAGAGGUUUAAUUUCGAGAUGAGACAACAGUGAGAGGUUUAAUUUCGAGAUGAGACAACAGUGAGAGGUUUAAUUUCGAGAUGAGACAACAGUGAGAGGUUUAAUUUUGAGAUGAGAGAACAGUGAGAGGUUUAAUUUCGAGAUGGUCAAAACAAAAAGUUUCACAUGGGCCUCAUCUCAUUAGAAUAUUAUUUCCAAAGAACCUCAAACAAUCAAAUUGAGAUGAAUUCCACAUGUAGUUCAUAUUAAC
This 300-nucleotide long non-coding RNA is filed under the name Salmo salar (Atlantic salmon). Its description in RNAcentral is "lncRNA (ENSSSAG00000111282.1)". The record is from RNAcentral. Lineage: Eukaryota; Metazoa; Chordata; Actinopteri; Salmoniformes; Salmonidae.